AUUAAAUGAGAAUAUAGCAAGGUUUAACAAACACUAAACAUUUAACUAAUAACAAGUAUUAUCAGUGACCAACUGGAAGGAGGAUAAACACAUCAUCAUAAAACAAAACCAGUGAGAAGCCAUACAGAAUGGAAUGAGGCAACAGUUCCCAAGCCACAGAUUCAUUUAUCACCCAUCCCAAGAUAGAAGAUGCGGCUAGAGCAGUGGCCCUGGGAGGAACAGUGCUUCUCUGCUUCUAACACUGCAAUGAAAUUCAGGACAAACACUAUACUAUGCAUGAAGAUCACCGCCUGGAGAUCCCAGCUCUUCAUUCCAGACGUCGUAUUUGAAAAUGGAAC
This 338-nucleotide long non-coding RNA is filed under the name Cricetulus griseus (Chinese hamster). Its description in RNAcentral is "lncRNA (ENSCGRG00000024172.1)". Lineage: Eukaryota; Metazoa; Chordata; Mammalia; Rodentia; Cricetidae. The record is from RNAcentral.